UCGAAAAAGCACUCGUAGGCUGUGAAAUGGUUCGGCGGGGGUUCAUCGGCACGAUCAAAGGGUUCGGGCGCAACGAAUUCGACCGCCUCGGAAAUCCUGCAACGCUGCCUUAGCUUAUGUAGCGAUUCCUCGGUCAAAAGAGAUGAACCAGGCGGAUCCGGUUUCUUCUUUUUAACCUUUCGGAGCUUUGAGGCUUCGAGGGGCCUACC
This 209-nucleotide long non-coding RNA is filed under the name Eutrema salsugineum. Its description in RNAcentral is "long non-coding RNA (ESAL_LNC000508)". Lineage: Eukaryota; Viridiplantae; Streptophyta; Magnoliopsida; Brassicales; Brassicaceae. The record is from RNAcentral.